CAAAGCACUUUGAAGAGAGAGUUAAAGAGGACGUGAAACCGGUUGGGUGGAAACGGAUAGAGCCGGCGAAGUCGCUCGUAUUUAGCCAAAGGCCCAGGGCUUUCCGCUGCUGCGUUGCUAAUUCACGCGUGGUGGUAGGUCUGCUCGGGGCUGAGGUGCACUUGCGGGCGUUUGCGCUGAGACUUGCGUGGCAGCUGUUGGACCCUUGCUUAGAGGCUUCCCUUUGGGUUGAACCUGGGCCUGGUUACAACUGUUUGCUCUGCUCGUACGGAUCUGGCCUACGGACUCGGGUUACGCCGUUGUCUUCACGACGUGGCAUCGCAUGCGAUGUCUAGCGUGCGGGCAGCGGUUUGGCUUGUGGUCCACGGAUCUUUUCUCGGUGUAGAAGCUGGUCAUCUCUCCGACCCGUCUUGAAACACGGACCAAGGAGUUUAGCGUAUGCGCGAGUCAUUGGGUGUCAAAACCCAAAGGCGCAAUGAAAGUAAAGGCCUGGUCGCCGGGCUGACAUGCGAUUGCCGCGUCUUCGGACUAGGCACGCAGCAUGGUCCCGUUGUGGUCGCUUGCGACGCAGCGGAGACAGAGCGUAUGCGCUGAGACCCGAAAGAUGGUGAACUAUUCCUGAGCAGGACGAAGCCAGAGGAAACUCUGGUGGAAGUCCGAAGCGAUUCUGACGUGCAAAUCGAUCGUCUGACUUGGGUAUAGGGGCCAAAGACUCCUCCUCUCAUC
This 726-nucleotide ribosomal RNA is filed under the name Criconemoides sp. m XZ-2021. Its description in RNAcentral is "partial large subunit ribosomal RNA". It matches the Rfam family "Eukaryotic large subunit ribosomal RNA", at positions 367 to 944 of the family's 3401-position model. Lineage: Eukaryota; Metazoa; Nematoda; Chromadorea; Rhabditida; Criconematidae. The record is from RNAcentral.